Molecule: ribosomal RNA, 253 nt
Filed under: uncultured bacterium
Lineage: Bacteria
Description: partial 16S ribosomal RNA
Rfam family: Bacterial small subunit ribosomal RNA
Source: RNAcentral
UACGUAGGGGGCUAGCGUUGUCCGGAAUCAUUGGGCGUAAAGCGCGCGCAGGCGGACUGGUCAGUCCGGGGUGAAAUCUCACGGCUCAACCGUGAGUGGUCCCUGGAUACUGCCAGCCUUGAGGUGUCUAGAGGAGAGCGGAAUUCCCGGUGUAGUGGUGGAAUGCGUAGAUAUCGGGAAGAACACCAGUGGCGAAAGCGGCUCUCUGGGGACCACCUGACGCUGAGGCGCGAAAGCGUGGGGAGCGAACCGG